GACGAACGCUGGCGGCGUGCUUAACACAUGCAAGUCGAACGAUGAAGCGGUGCUUGCACCGUGGAUUAGUGGCGAACGGGUGAGUAAUACGUGAGUGACCUACCUUUGACUCUGGGAUAAGCCUGGGAAACUGGGUCUAAUACCGGAUACGACCAAUCUCUGCAUGGGGUGUUGGUGGAAAGCGUUAUGGAGUGGUUUUAGAUGGGCUCACGGCCUAUCAGCUUGUUGGUGAGGUAAUGGCUUACCAAGGCGACGACGGGUAGCCGGCCUGAGAGGGUGACCGGCCACACUGGGACUGAGACACGGCCCAGACUCCUACGGGAGGCAGCAGUGGGGAAUAUUGCACAAUGGGCGCAAGCCUGAUGCAGCGACGCCGCGUGAGGGAUGACGGCCUUCGGGUUGUAAACCUCUGUUAGCAUCGAAGAAGCGAAAGUGACGGUAGGUGCAGAGAAAGCGCCGGCUAACUACGUGCCAGCAGCCGCGGUAAUACGUAGGGCGCGAGCGUUGUCCGGAAUUAUUGGGCGUAAAGAGCUUGUAGGCGGUUGGUCGCGUCUGCUGUGAAGGCCGGGGCUUAACUCCGGUUUUGCAGUGGGUACGGGCUAACUAGAGUGCAGUAGGGGAGACUGGAAUUCCUGGUGUAGCGGUGGAAUGCACAGAUAUCAGGAGGAACACCGAUGGCGAAGGCAGGUCUCUGGGCUGUAACUGACGCUGAGAAGCGAAAGCAUGGGGAGCGAACAGGAUUAGAUACCCUGGUAGUCCAUGCCGUAAACGUUGGGCACUAGGUGUGGGGGACAUUCCACGUUUUCCGCGCCGUAGCUAACGCAUUAAGUGCCCCGCCUGGGGAGUACGGCCGCAAGGCUAAAACUCAAAGGAAUUGACGGGGGCCCGCACAAGCGGCGGAGCAUGCGGAUUAAUUCGAUGCAACGCGAAGAACCUUACCAGGGCUUGACAUGCAUUAGAUCGCGUCAGAGAUGGCGUUUCCCUUCGGGGCUGGUGUACAGGUGGUGCAUGGUUGUCGUCAGCUCGUGUCGUGAGAUGUUGGGUUAAGUCCCGCAACGAGCGCAACCCUCGUUCUAUGUUGCCAGCGGUUCGGCCGGGGACUCAUAGGAGACUGCCGGGGUCAACUCGGAGGAAGGUGGGGAUGACGUCAAAUCAUCAUGCCCCUUAUGUCUUGGGCUUCACGCAUGCUACAAUGGCCGGUACAGAGGGUUGCGAUACUGUGAGGUGGAGCUAAUCCCUUAAAGCCGGUCUCAGUUCGGAUUGGGGUCUGCAACUCGACCCCAUGAAGUCGGAGUCGCUAGUAAUCGCAGAUCAGCAACGCUGCGGUGAAUACGUUCCCGGGCCU
Molecule: ribosomal RNA, 1345 nt
Filed under: uncultured bacterium
Lineage: Bacteria
Description: bacterial SSU rRNA
Rfam family: Bacterial small subunit ribosomal RNA
Source: RNAcentral